Long non-coding RNA from Tympanuchus pallidicinctus (lesser prairie-chicken), 672 nucleotides. RefSeq lists it as uncharacterized. Lineage: Eukaryota; Metazoa; Chordata; Aves; Galliformes; Phasianidae. The record is from RefSeq and is a predicted model, not a curated record. The transcript is spliced from 4 exons.
AAAAUGUGAGUCUCCUAUCAGGACAAGGAAAAAGUUAUGGAUUUAUCGUGUGUGUGAGACUCCGGGCAUCCCCCUGUUUGCUGUAGAGCUAUUAACUGCUUGAUUGCUACUGACCAGACCUGAUUGAAGAGGUACGUUGGCAGAUGAUGACAUUACUGCAGGAGAAGGUAAGUUGCGAAUCCAUGAGAACUCAUAGCAGCUGUUUGCAUUAUAACCUCAGCAUCAGUGUGAAGAAGAAGCCCAUAUCCUCCUUGAGCCCUCCGCCUGGUUGUGUGCAAUUCUGUAGCAAUUCAUUUCUUCAUGAAUAGAAAAGACUGUGUGAAUAGCUGACUCGUGUUCAGCUUUGAUGUCAUAUUGUUUGGGUAACCUCCUGAAGCUUCAGAGGCACUCUUCGGCAGAGCAGCACAGCCAGCCAGCAGAUGGGGAGGAGCGCUUGGAUUUCUGUGAAACAAAUGUGUUUUGUUAUGCCAAGGGAUGGCAUUCAAGCAGAUAAAUAAUACGCAUACUGCACGCGAAGAUGUGGAAGUGGAAACGUACAGAACUAGCGCUGGAGUCAGUGCUCCCUGCGAGGGAGCCUGCAACACACUGCAGUCCGCUUUGCUGAGCGCACCAGUGCCAACCAGGAGCUGAUGGCGCAGCUGAGAUCAAGAAGUGUUUUAAUCUCUUAAUAAA